This 1085-nucleotide long non-coding RNA is filed under the name Oryctolagus cuniculus (rabbit). RNAcentral's name for it is "lncRNA (ENSOCUG00000034016.1)". The record is from RNAcentral. Lineage: Eukaryota; Metazoa; Chordata; Mammalia; Lagomorpha; Leporidae.
CCAAAUUGCCCAGACAGAUGGUAGAAACAGGUAAGGUAGAAACACUCUUCGGCUGUGAGAGAGCCAUUUUCUUCAACAUGGUUCUUCUUUACUGUCAUUCCACAUAUUUUAGAUAAUUCACUCUUUCCAGAUAGGGAAAUUGUUGCUAAACUUCCUAAUGUUAACAUAAAGUAUCUUAUUUCGAGAACUGAACUUUCAAUUCAUUCUAGUUUCCUAAUUCAUUUAGCCAAAAAUGUUCCCCUAAAAGCAAGAAUAGAACAUUUUUUUGGUUGAACUAUUGUGCAUUUGUUACAACCAUUCACAGCAUCGACCCUUCACACUGGCUGAUCAUCCAGAAAAUAUCGAAGGAAAAGGAAGUGCAAGUGAACGUUAGGUCCAAAUAGCACAAUCUCUCGGCUCACUAGAGCAGAAUCGCUCUCUAACACACUGGUCAUAGGCUAUAUUACUAGCUCUUUUUAUCCUAUCUCUAGGUAGAAAAGCCAUAAUUUAAACUGACAGCAUUACUUGUCAUGAAGUCUGUGAGUUUACAAUUUCUAAAUGUCAGUUUGAACUCCUGACUAGUUCCUUAGAGCACUACUGUUUUUUUCUAAAUGAUGCCGCUUGUCAGCUCUGCCUACAUAAAAGCAGUUAAUCAGCAGUUUGCAGGCCAACAGAAGCAGAAUGGGCCGCUGUGCUAAUAGUGGCCCCACAAAGCACCUCCUACUCAGAAGGAACGUCUUCUCCUAAGCCAAUAUUAUCUUCACAUCACUAAUCCAUUCACCAGCCUACAGCAAAGAUUUCAUGCCAAGGAACUUGCUAUUUUGAAGUAAUAGUCUGAACUCGGUCUGACGUGUCCAUGGGCCCGAAGCCUACCAUGGAGCAGCUGCUGCCAGUAGUACCUGGGGACCACUGGGACCCCUGACCCUCCUCACUGUGACGACUUCCAGUAGUACCUGGGGACCACUGGGACCCCCGUCCCUCCCUACUGUGACCACUGCCAGUAGUACCUGGGGACCACUGGGACCCCCGUCCCUCCUCACUGUGACCACUGCCAGUAGUACCUGGGACCACUGGGACCCCCGACCCUCCUCACAGCAGCCACUGCC